This 389-nucleotide ribosomal RNA is filed under the name uncultured bacterium. RNAcentral describes it as "bacterial SSU rRNA". It matches the Rfam family "Bacterial small subunit ribosomal RNA", at positions 28 to 417 of the family's 1533-position model. The record is from RNAcentral.
GACGAACGCUGGCGGCGUGCUUAACACAUGCAAGUCGAGCGGUAAGGCCCUUUCGGGGUACGACGAGCGGCGAACGGGUGAGUAACACGUGGGUGACCUGCCCUCAGCUCUGGGAUAAGCCUGGGAAACCGGGUCUAAUACUGGAUAUGACUCCAUGACGCAUGUUGUGGGGUGGAAAGCCUUGUGCGGCUGAGGAUCGGGCCCGCGGCCUAUCAGCUUGUUGGUGGGGUGANGGCCUACCAAGGCGACGACGGGUAGCCGGCCUGAGAGGGCGACCGGCCACACUGGGACUGAGACACGGCCCAGACUCCUACGGGAGGCAGCAGUGGGGAAUCUUGCGCAAUGGGCGAAAGCCUGACGCAGCGACGCCGCGUGAGGGAUGACGGCCU